This 440-nucleotide ribosomal RNA is filed under the name uncultured bacterium. RNAcentral's name for it is "bacterial SSU rRNA". It matches the Rfam family "Bacterial small subunit ribosomal RNA", at positions 338 to 786 of the family's 1533-position model. The record is from RNAcentral.
CCUACGGGUGGCAGCAGUGGGGAAUAUUGCGCAAUGGGCGAAAGCCUGACGCAGCCACGCCGCGUGAGUGAUGAAGGCCUUCGGGUUGUAAAGCUCUGUCGGGAGGGACGAAAGGCGUAAGCCUUGACGGUACCUCGCAAGAAAGCACCGGCUAACUCUGUGCCAGCAGCCGCGGUAAUACAGAGGGUGCAAGCGUUGCUCGGAUUUACUGGGCGUAAAGCGUACGCAGACGGUAAGGAAGGUCGGAUGUGAAAGCCCCGGGCUCAACCCUGGAACUGCAUUCGAAACCCCUUGCUAGAGUAUGGGAGAGGGAAGCGGAAUUCCUGGUGUAGAGGUGAAAUUCGUAGAUAUCAGGAGGAACACCGGCGGCGAAGGCGGCUUCCUGGCCCAUUACUGACGUUCAGGUACGAAAGCGUGGGUAGCAAACAGGAUUAGAUACC